CGUGCCUAACACAUGCAAGUCGAGCGGUCCAGCACUCAAGCUUGCUUGGGUGCUGGGUAGCGGCGAACGGGUGAGUAACGCGUGGGUGACCUGCCCGGGAGACUGGGAUAACAGUUCGAAAGGGCUGCUAAUACCGGAUGAUCCCCAGCACUCAACCGAAGGAAUUAGGCUUGGUUUUAGAGGAAGCUUUCUUGUAGGUUCAAUGAGGUUUUUCUAUGGUACAGCCUGGUUUUUGGGUUGAGUGCUGGGGCAAAGCGUUUAGCGCUCCUGGAUGGGCCCGCGUCCCAUUAGCUAGUUGGUGGGGUAAUGGCCUACCAAGGCGGCGAUGGGUAGCCGGUCUGAGAGGAUGGUCGGCCACACUGGGACUGAGACACGGCCCAGACUCCUACGGGAGGCAGCAGUGGGGAAUUUUGCGCAAUGGGGGGAACCCUGACGCAGCGACGCCGCGUGGGUGAUGAAGGCCUUCGGGUUGUAAAGCCCUGUUGGGGGGGAAGAUAAUGACGGUACCCCCUGAGGAAGCCCCGGCUAACUACGUG
This 536-nucleotide ribosomal RNA is filed under the name uncultured bacterium. RNAcentral's name for it is "bacterial SSU rRNA". It matches the Rfam family "Bacterial small subunit ribosomal RNA", at positions 43 to 507 of the family's 1533-position model. The record is from RNAcentral.